This 186-nucleotide ribosomal RNA is filed under the name Triticum aestivum (bread wheat). RNAcentral describes it as "partial small subunit ribosomal RNA". Lineage: Eukaryota; Viridiplantae; Streptophyta; Magnoliopsida; Poales; Poaceae. The record is from RNAcentral.
AGGCGGAAAGCGGUGUCUUCUCUUAUCAUGCUUGUUUCUUGGGAGGUCUGGAAAGAGAGAAACUCAAGAGUUUUUCAACAAACAUGUAGGCUGCCAACUGUGGUGGUCGGAGGCAUUAAGGCAGAGGCGAAGAACUGGAUCAUCGCUGGGGCUAGGCACUUGGGUUCUUUGAUGCCGCGAGAGUAG